AGUGAACGCUGGCGGUAGGCCUAACACAUGCAAAUCGAACGGCAGCACAGUAAGAGCUUGCUCUUACGGGUGGCGAGUGGCGGACGGGUGAGGAAUACAUCGGAAUCUACUUUUUCGUGGGGGAUAACGUAGGGAAACUUACGCUAAUACCGCAUACGACCUACGGGUGAAAGCAGGGGAUCUUCGGACCUUGCGCGAUUGAAUGAGCCGAUGUCGGAUUAGCUAGUUGGCGGGGUAAAGGCCCACCAAGGCGACGAUCCGUAGCUGGUCUGAGAGGAUGAUCAGCCACACUGGAACUGAGACACGGUCCAGACUCCUACGGGAGGCAGCAGUGGGGAAUAUUGGACAAAGGGCGCAAGCCUGAUCCAGCCAUACCGCGUGGGUGAAGAAGGCCUUCGGGUUGUAAAGCCCUUUUGUUGGGAAAGAAAAGCAGCAGGUUAAUACCCCGCUGUUCUGACGGUACCCAAAGAAUAAGCACCGGCUAACUUCGUG
This 492-nucleotide ribosomal RNA is filed under the name uncultured bacterium. RNAcentral describes it as "partial 16S ribosomal RNA". It matches the Rfam family "Bacterial small subunit ribosomal RNA", at positions 29 to 507 of the family's 1533-position model. The record is from RNAcentral.